UGGAAAUACCUGGGGAAGCGGGAAGU
RNAcentral lists this non-coding RNA (26 nucleotides) under Rattus norvegicus (Norway rat). The record is from RNAcentral. Lineage: Eukaryota; Metazoa; Chordata; Mammalia; Rodentia; Muridae.